UGGAAGGGGCAUGCAGAGGAGCACGAGGCUUGGCUAAAAGCCGACCUGUGCUAUGCUACCCCUCGCUGGCUCUCCUGUGCCUGCCUCUUCCA
Molecule: microRNA precursor, 92 nt
Filed under: Saccharum sp.
Lineage: Eukaryota; Viridiplantae; Streptophyta; Magnoliopsida; Poales; Poaceae
Description: miR528 stem-loop (ssp-MIR528)
Gene: ssp-MIR528
Rfam family: MIR528 microRNA precursor family
Source: miRBase by way of RNAcentral